CAGUCGCCGCGGUAAUACGGAGGGGGCUAGCGUUGUUCGGAAUUACUGGGCGUAAAGCGCACGUAAGCGGCUUGGUAAGUUAGAGGUGAAAGCCUGGAGCUCAACUCCAGAAUUGCCUUUAAGACUGCCGAGCUAGCAGGUGAGAGAGGUAAGUGGAAUUCCGAGUGUAGAGGUGAAAUUCGUAGAUAUUCGGAAGAACACCAGUGGCGAAGGCGGCUUACUGGCUCAUACUGGACGCUGAGGUGCGAAAGCGUGGGGAGCAAACAGGAUUAGAUACCCCAGUAGUCCCUGUCUCUUAUAC
This 301-nucleotide ribosomal RNA is filed under the name uncultured bacterium. RNAcentral's name for it is "partial 16S ribosomal RNA". It matches the Rfam family "Bacterial small subunit ribosomal RNA", at positions 509 to 807 of the family's 1533-position model. The record is from RNAcentral.